CUUUGAGUUACAGGCAGAAAAAAUAUCCUGUAAAUACCGUUGACUUACAUGGUAACUACACCAAGGGUUUACUUAGUGAACAAUCACUAACUAUAGCAUAAUUACACAUCCCUGCAGAUUACUGCAGAAUUGUGUCACUGAGCAGGCAGUGACCACCAAACUGAAUUUCUGGCUGUGGGAAGGGCUGGGAAAUAAGGGCGUUAGCCCACAUUUAGUAGGAAUUUAUGUCUAUUUCUUCAAAUUAUCAAUUAGCCUCUCUAUUCCGAGGAGUCUUUCCAUUUUAUCUCCAUCUCACAAGCUCCAGGCAAGUGUGUGCUGGUUGCAGUUUUCAGCUGAUACAGGUUUAGGCCAUGCAGUAUCUGGGGGUACUCACAAAGCCCUCAGACAAGCAUGAGGCUAGUGAUUAACUUCUCCAUUAUCGUAAUGGGAUACACAUUCAGCAGCAGGGCUGAAGGGCACCGAGCCAUCUUCACUUUGUCCUGGUGACCGAUGAUUCAACAGCUGUCCAGGCCAAAAAUGAAGCUGACUGGACCACCCACGUUGGGAAGACUAUUCUGGUCGUUCUAGUGGGAAAUGGUGGGGUUCAGUUUUAGAAUACUUUCUCAAGAACUUCACGUUGCUUCUUACUCCCAUCUGGAGUGGUGUGAGUGUCUCUAGGGAGACUGGUGCUAAGGCUGAUAGUAUGCAAAGAAGUUAAGUGGUCUGACCUUGACCACAGCGCUGGCAACAGAAGUCACAUUUGCACUGGGGGUCUGUGGUCCCUGAGAAUUCUGACCAACUGGUCCCUUUGGGAUUAGGGGAUCAGAAUUGGCUGGCAGCUGGGAGCUGGGGCUUCUCUGUUUGUGUCGGGUUGCAGCUGAAAUAGCCAUCAAGGUAUCACUUGCAUCAGGCUGGGUGUGGGGGGAAGGGAGGUGGGAAUAAAGGGGGCAGAGAUAUGUGGAUACUGAAUGAACAUGUGUUGUACACCAAUUUUUAAUCCAUCGCCGACCUCUUCUAGUUGAUUUCUUUCAUAUAAUCUCCCUUCCCCCUCUCACCUGUCCAGAGACGAUCAAAUAAAAACUUAAGCCUGCCGGGCGGUGGUGGCGCACGCCUUUAAUCCCAGCACUCGGGAGGCAGAGCCAGGCAGAUCUCUGUGAGUUCGAGGCCAGCCUGGUCUCCAAAGCGAGUUCCAGGAAAGGCGCAAAGCUACACAGAGAAACCCUGUCUCGAAAAAGAAAAAAAAAAAAAAACUUAAGCCUAAUACACCUCUAGUCACAGACCCCUGGGUUUCCACAGACCCUAAAACAAAUGCCUCCUCUUUAAGAACAGAUAUUGCAUGGGGGCAAUGGUGACACACACCUGCUUUUAAUCCCAGCACUCGGGAGGCAGAGGCAGACGGAUCUUUGUGAGUUUGAGGCCAGCCUGGGCUACAGAGUGAGUUCCAGGCCUACACAGAGAAACUCUGUCUCCAAAAAGAAAAAAGAAAAAACAAAACAAAGCAAAAAUCAAAAAAACAAAGCAAAACAAAAAACAACCCAGGUAUUGCCUAGAGAAUCCUGAUUCUUUGCAACUGCUGUUUGAAUCCUCUCAUUCUCCCUGGCUCCGGCGUAUGGUAGGCUGGGUAGCUAUCCAACUAGAGUGAUAUCUUGCCCUCACCCGAAGAAGUGGUCUACUUUAACAAGAAGCAGAGCUUCAGUACCAAUCACUGGCUGGGAGGGAAGGCGACUGGAACCAAAGGAAGAGAAAUAAGAGUAUAACCAAAAGCACACUGCCCUGGUAAGCACUGGCCACUGGGCACGAGCUCAGUUCUGCCUAGGAGAAAAAGAUGUUAGCUGCAAAGGAUGGGUUUAGGAAGCAAUUUGUGUCUUAAAAGUUUACAGUGUUCAGCCUGGGCUGCAUGGUCAAUUUAAAGCCAGUUUGGGAGACGGUGAAAUUAUGUCUCAAAUGGAAUAACAAACAGCAAAGCUGCCGACCUGUGGCUGUGGCUCUGUCGGUAGACUGUCUCCCUAUUGUGCUGCAGGUUUGAAGAUGCCAGGAGUUCUAUCCGCAGCACUGCAUAAGCCAGGUGUGUGGGCACAUGCUGGUAACCUUAGCAUUGAGGAGGGUCAGAAGUUCGAGGCUGUCCUCAGCUACAUAGCAAGUUUAAAGCCAGCCUAUACUAUAGGAGAUUCUGUUUUUUUAAAAAAAAUAGUAUUUGAUCCAGACAUGGAGGCAUAUGUGCUAUAAUCUCAGCACUUAGUAGGCAGAGCCAGGAGGAUCACAAUUUCAAGGACAGUCCAGGCUACAUAGUGUAACCCUGACCUCCUCCCCACCAAAGCAAAGAACUUUAAGGUUUGGGGUGCAGUGCUGAGAUUCCUGAGACAUGUUUUUACAGUGACUUUGAGAACUACAAGUGCAUGCUACUUUCCAGGGACCUGUGAGAUCCUACUGAGAUGUGGGUGAUGAUAACCAGGAGCCCUUAAGCCCAGAGAUGUUUCUCAGGGCACCAAGCCCCUUGCAGCUCCUUGGCAGCCACAGAUGUGGGUACUUAUACUUAGAGCUCCAGGAGGGUUGUGGGUAGGAAGAGGGAUUCCCUCUGGUCAGGAAGGAUGAAUGAACUAUAAUAAAUAACGUUAACAGUGAGGAAGACUAAAGAGGUUAUUGUGUGCCAGGUGUAGCUUAGCUCCUUGAUGAUCCAUCCAUACAUUAGCUCUUUAAAGAAAAAUGGACCCACUGCCAGAGGGCAGAGCUGUCCUCAAAGUAAGAGGAAGAUCACCAUUCACAGUCCCACUCUGUGUCUUCUGGGAGCAUUAGCUGGAAGGUCAAGUACCGUUUCCAGGUGUGGAAGAUAGAAAUGAGUGGGAAAGGUCGCUGCAGGGAUUUGAAUACAUAGACGUCUUCAGGGAGUCAGCUUCAAGGUGUAGACUGGGGUGCCGCAACUCGAGUGGAGAUAUCACUGAACUGUGAGCGAGCUAAAGAAAGGAUGGACUUCCUCACAUGUAUAAACAUGUGCAGGAUCAUAUGUGUACAUACAUGCCUACCUGCGUAUCACCUGGUACUUAAAGACUUCUGAACUACUAAGAAAAGACCAACUAUCUCAAGCACAAGGAACUAUUUCAAGAGAUGCUCCCACAUGACAGUCUUCUGUAAGCCUCUGCUUUGUCUUUGUUUUGUUUUGUUUGAAACAGGAUCUCUCUAUAUAGCCCUGGUUGUCCUGGCAUUCACUAUGUAGGCCAGGCCAGUUUCAAACUCACAGAGACCCACCUGUCUCUGCCUCCCAAGUGCUGGGAUUAAAGGAGCGCACCGCCAAGCCCGGCUUCUGUAGGCUUCUUGGUCAGCUAACCCAAGCCUGGGAUGUUGGAGGAAGAUGGAUGGAGCAGGAUGAGGAAGAGCACACCUUCAAGGGUUUUCCAGUGGACUCAAGAUCUGCUCUUGGUUCUCCAGACUUAAUCAUGUCCAAGGCAAGGGACAUGUAUGUGGGAAGGUCUGGGACAGGGGACAUCAGAUUCAGAGCCCGACAGUAGGUGUUUUUCUAGUACUGAUCUCAAGGAUUCCAAACUAGUUUAUUUGGAGUAUAGAAGAACAGGAGCUUUGGAGCCAGGAAGCCUAGGGUGGAAUUCUGUCCUUUUCUGCUUAUUAGCUCCCCAUCUAUUCCUUUACUCAAUACAUAUUUAGUGAAAGGCAGCAUGUACUAGGUGUGUGUCCUCUUUGGGGCAAGCUGCUUAACUCAGCUACUUUUAAUUCCCUUAUCUCAAAGGUAAGGAAAUGUAACUACAUAUCACAGUUGUACACACAGUUGACACUUGAUAAAUGCUUGAAUGUUCCAACUAUAACUUUCUAAUAAUGUCUUUCCUUGUUGAUAUUUCCCUCCAAAUGUAACUCAUCUAAAUUUUGGGGAAUUUUGUAACAUCCCAGAGGAUCACCACUUCCUAGAGGUGACAUUAACAGUGGGUGAGGACGUCACUCUUCUCUGGCACAAGACAGCGUGGUAUAGGUUCAACCCUGGGUCGUCUCUCUCUAGGCUGUGAGUCCUCCAUGGGCUGAGACUGUGUCUUCAUGGUAUAGGUUCAACCCUGGGCCUUCUCACUCUAGGCUGUGUGAGUCCUCCAUGGGCUGAGACUGUGUCUUCAUGGUAUAGGUUCAACCCCGGGCCUUCUCUCUCUAGGCUGUGAAUCCUCCAUGGGCUGAGACUGUGUCUUCAUGUGUUCAGCAUGGUGGCCAUAGUAUGUGUGGCAGUGCCACAGAAAACCAGAUAUGGGACUCAAGAGAUAGCUCAGCAGUUAAGGGUAUGUACUGCUCUCUCAGAGGAUCCAAACUUGGGUCCAGCACCCACAUCUCAUAACCACCUGUAACUCCACUUUUAGGGACUCUGAUGUCCUCUUCUGGCCUCAGUGAGCACCUACACUGUGCACACCCACACCCACACACAUCCACACACAGAUACCUUUAAUUAAAAAGAAAAAAAAGCAGAGCUGGGCAGUGGUGGCGCACGCCUUUAAUCCCAGUACUCGGGAGGCAGAGGCAGGUGGAUCUCUGUGAGUUUGAGGCCAGCUUGGUCUACAGAGUGAGUUCCAGGGCAGCCAAAGAUUCUAGACUGGUGGUCCUACAGGUCUCUCAUUGCUUCAUUCAACAAAUAUACUAUCACCUUCAGUACCCCUAGGGCUCUAUGCCAGGUGCUGGGGAAUAUAAUGAGUAAAACAGACUGGGCCCCUGCCUUCGUGGAGCUCAGAGCCAGUGGGAGAAGAUAGGCUAUGAUCAAAUAGUUGAAAAAGGAAGCAAAUGAUGCUAAGAAAAUGUAUUUAUAAGCAUAUAUGCAUAUUUUAUAUGUGUGUAUUUAUAAGCAUAUAUGUAAAAAGGAGGGUACAGUGGUUGGAGUGAGAAUGUCCGCUAUAGGCUCAGGUGUUUGAACACUUGGUCCCCAGUUUGUGGCACUGUUUGGGGAGGUCUAGGAGGCGUGGCCUUGUUGGGGAAAGGCUCUACCCCCUGGAGGUAGACUCUGCAUCAUUGCUAGUUCUCUCUCUUUCUGCCUUGUGCCUGUGGUGAAGGAUGGAAGUUCUCAGCAGUGCGCUUCUGAAGCCAUGCUUGCUGCUUGCUGCCAUGUCUCCCAUCAUGGUGGACUCUCACCCUCUGGAACUACAGGCUCAAAUAAGUUUCUUAUAUAAGUUGCCUUGGUCAUGGUGUUUUAUUAUGGCAACAGAAAAGUAGCUAAUACAAGAGGGGGUGCUGACCAAGUCUGAGUAAUCACAAGGUUUUUCCAAAGUGCAACAUGUCUGCAGACAUCUGUACUAGGAGCUGGAGUUAAGGCCAGGUUGGUAGUGCUGCAAUUUUUUUUUUGUUUGUUUGUUGUUGUUUUUUUUUGAGACAAGGUUUCUCUGUGUAGUUUUGUGCCUUUCCUGGAACUCACUUUGUAGACCAGGCUGGCCUCGAACUCACGGAGAUCCACCUGCCUCUACCUCCUGAGUGCUGGGAUAAGGGUGUGCGCCACCACUGCCCGGCCAGUGCUGCAAUUGUUCAGGGAAGUCUUUCCUGGUGACUGCUUCUGUUGUGGCACAUUUAGAUCUCCAGGAAAGGCGAACGUGACUGGAACAUGGUUUGUAACCAUGAACACUGAGCAAAGAAGCUGGAGGGUAAGUUCUGGACUUUCUCUCAAGAGCAAGAGGACACCACUGCAAUGCUUUAAGUUCAGAGACAGUGAUGGUGCUGAGUUCUCUAGGCAACAGAUGGCAGUGACCUUGGAGUGGGGUGGGAAGGGUGAUGGGAGAGACUAGAAUGGACAAGCUCUCUGUUCGCCAGUGAGUUGAGAAGGCUCACUGAUAGUUGGGACCUACAAUUGCAGAUGGAGAUGAGGCAGGAGCACAGCUGACUCUCAGGUUUGGGUUUUUGUGUUGGUUUUGUCUUUUUGUUUUUCAAGACAGGGUUUCCUUGUGUAGCCCUGGCUGUCCAGGAACUGGCUCUGUAGCCCAGGCUGGCCUCGAACUCAGAGCUCCACCUGCGUCUGCCUCCCAGUGCUGGGACUAAAGGUGCGCGCCAUCGAUGCCCUAGUUGACUUCUGGGUUUGUAAACUUGUUCUGAGCGUUUAUCUGCUCCUUGAAGACUUUUGGGAAAGGUUUUCCUUCCUGGUCAUUGGUGCAUUUAGUUCUGAUGCCUUCCGAGGUGAGUGGAUUUCCAUUUCCAGAGGAUGAAGAAAUGAUCAAAAUCCCUGCUGAACCUGGGAGGCAUUGAGAAGGUCAUUUCCCCUAAAGCAACCCCUUGUUAUUCAGGCACUCACAUUCAUCUCCCCAACUCACCCAAACCCAAACAUGCAUCCUCUCCCUCUGACCUCUCAGACCUACAGACUUCCCAGCACUCCCCACAGGCCACUCCAUUCUGCCCCUAUUCAGCCUCACCUCCCCAAAGCUCCUGCACCCCCCUUUCUCCUCUCUCCUCCCGACCUCCCCCUCAUUCUGGCCCCAGCUCCCCUCUGCCUCCACUUCACCCUAUUAAGAAACAACCACCCCACAGAAGCCUCUGCCCCUGGCGGCUGCUCCCUGAGCCCCGCCCGCCCUCCCUCCUCCUGCUCCUCUUCCUGACAGAUGCCUCAGAGCCCCGGGCCGCAGUUAAGGUGACGAGAUGCAGCAAUUCUUUAUGAACAUUUCAUUCCUGCUCGCUACACGACGUAAAUUAGAUGGUGUGUUACAUUCGGGCAAUAAGAGAGAUAUGUCACCACGACGCUGGCCCAUUGGAUGGAGAGGGUAAUCCUGCCGUGAAUUUCAUUACUGCUUUUAUAUAGACAGAAUUAGCUCGGUGACAGCGAGCCUGAUUGUCUUUCACUAGGGGUUUGGCGAAGAGCUGAAAGGAUUUCACCCUGAUGUGCACACUACUGAGUGACCCCGCUUACCAGCGGCUCUGCUGAUUGCUUUGCACCUUGCAGACUCCGCAACUGGCUCAGCCUCUUGCCCGCCUCACUCCCUCCGGGCCUCCAGCCCGCCCCGCCCUGCCUGGCUUUCUCUCGAAGCCAAAGCCAGAAGACCUAACAGAGGAGUCACAAGGUCAUGAAGGGAUGUGUCGGUGGGGAGGAGAAGGGUGGCAGAGCUAAAACCAAAAUAAAACAAAACUCCUUCUGUGACUAAGCUCUCCUGGCCGGGGCCUAGGGUCCUCACUCUCACCACUCCCAUGAAUGGGUAAGAAAGCCCAUGGCCCUCCAGGCGGGAGCUGGUGCAUCCUCUUAGGUGUCCCCAGCAGAAACUGCAGAGCUUUCUUUGGGUUCCUGCCUCUUGGCCUCCUGUUUCUGUAGGAGAUUCUCUUACUUGCACUUUCUCCUUGUACCCGAUUAAGUCACUCUAACCCCACAUGUAACACUCAGAUGAUGUUGAGUAGAUGGCCCCAAACUAGCAGACUGCAAAACUGGACCAAGGAUUUCCUUCCUAGGUCUUUGCCGUGGGAUGGCUGCUCCUGGGAGAGCCAGUGGAGCCCCUCCCUAGUACUCUGCUUUCUGUCCACUCCCUUCCUCACCCGUGUUGACCCCUCAGCCAUAGCCUUUGCCAAGGCCUUUCUGAAGCAGCUGUCUGCUCCUGGGGUUGGCCAGGGACACGGACCAUCACUGGGACCCUGAUCACCACUUUAGUUCUUUCCAGAAGCCCCCAGAAAGAUUCUCUGAGAUUCUAUUCUUUGAGGGCUAAGGGACCAGGCCUGGAGCAGACAGCAUAAUCUCCUCAAAGCUUCUUUUUCUUUUGGUCAACCCGACAAUUCUGUCAGGAAAGCUCUCUCUCGUGACCCAGAGCAGUGAGGGCUGUGGCUGGGUUGGAAGGCAUUAAGGUCACAGUGUCCACUUUCCAGUGGGGGAGGGGAUUUCCGGAGCUCAGCAGAGGUCCGAGGUGGGUGUGUGGGUGCUAGAGGCCUGAAGUAGGGUCUCUACAUGCUGACAAGUUUCCUAGGGACAGCCAAUUGAAUUUUCCUCUCAGUUGCUGUCCUUACUUGUCCUCCUGCCUGUGGUCAUAUCUUUUUCCCAGUACAACUUGCCCCUCUGGGCCCUGUCACUUCCCACCAGGUCAGGACAAAUCUGAAGGGCCUGUGAUAGGUUAAGGCCUUUUUGGAGACCAAGCCAGCCUAACUUUUCCCUCUUUGCGGUCCUGCUUCUUUCUAGCUUCAUCAUCAUCAUCACCAUCACCAUCAUCAUCAUCAUCAUCACCAUCAUCACCAUCAUCAUCACCAUCAUCAUCACCAUCAUCAUCAUCAUCACCAUCAUCAUUAUCAUUUUAUAUGGAUGGGUGUUUUGCCUAUACCACAUUAUUUGUUUACCACAUGCAUGCCUGAUGAGGCCAGAAGAGAGUGUUGGAUCCCCUGGAACUGGAGUUACAGGGGGCCACCAUGUGAAUGCUGGGAAUUAAGCCCAGGUCCUCUGGAUGAGCAGCCAGUGCUCUUAAAUGGUGAGCCAUCUCUCCAGCCCUUCUUCCCAGUUUUAUCUCAGCACAGUAUGGUAGAAUUUUUGCACAGAAUGCUUCAUUUUGAUCAGCUUUCAGAUCCAACCUGAAAGCAGUUCCUGUCCUAUGCACUAAUGGGGCCACCACAGGAUGAAAGUGUGUAAAAUAUAGUUCCCUGGGAGAUACAGCUGCUGCCUUUGGCCAACAAGGUUAACAUUGCGAUUGUCAUCAUCGUCACAGCUGGCCCCACUCAGCUGGUACAGCAGGGGUCAGCAUAUAGAUAAAUGCCCAGCUUUCUUGCUUUACCCUAAGGACAAGGUCCUCUAUAUUUUGUACUUUAUCUCUUUAUCAGAAUGACCUUCUCAAUUGACCAACUUGUUCAGGAAGACAGCCAUGGUCUCAAGGAUUUAGGGGUUUGAACAGUUCUGCAGUUCUGUUACCCACUUCUCAUUCUUAAUUUAGUUUGUUUUGGUUUCUGAGACAAGGUUUCAUGUAGCCCAGGCUGGCUUUGAAAUCGCUAUGUAGACAAGGAUGAGUUUGAUUUCCUAUCGUCCUGCCUCAACCUCCUGAGUGCUGGGGUUACAAGGGUGAACUACCACAGUUUCAUGCAAUGCUGGAGACUGAAGCCAGGUCUUCCUGCAUGCUAGGCAAGGACUCUACUUACUGAGCCACACCCCCAGCAGUGGGUGGGGAAAAGAAAGACCAGUAAGUCAAACCCAUGGCAUCCUUCCUUCUACACUCUAUGGGUGUGUUCCUGGUUGGCUUCCUAAGCAUGCACUUUCCUCACAGGGACCAAAGCUUCCAUCACUGCAGUGGAGGUAGAGCAGGCUCCCAAGGAAAGCCUGAGGGCGGAGUCUCCUCUGUUUUAACUAUAAUUCCUCCUCCACCUUGUCUGCAGAGCCAGGAAACGAUGGGCCAGUCAGAUAGCUCAGCAAGCAGGUGAAAGCGAUUACUCAGUGUCCUCUGUUUGAUGUCCUUCAGAACCCCAUAAAGGUAGAACAGAGAGAACUGAUUCCACCAGGUGCUCCUCUGACCUCCACAGAGCAUUAUGGCACAUGCCCCUUUCCUCACAAUAGUGACAUGACUUAAAAAGUUUUACAUUAAAAAAUUCUAAGAUCUCUUUCUCCCAGGGGAUAGGGAAGAGGGUGGCAGUGGCCACAUUACUGUUACUCUUCUAUGUGUCUCCUCUUGGUCUCACAGCCUUUCAGCCCUUUGGAAUGAAUGGCUGGUGGAGGCCUUGCCAGAGGAGCCAGAUCUCUGCCCUCCCCAGGACUUGCUCCCAGGCUUUUCUGGAAGCCAUGAUUUUCUGAAAGGCAAAGGCCUAGGUCUUUUGCUCUGGAGCUUUUGGUGCAAGGCUACAGAUGCUGAGCAGAGUCAGGGAGCUGGGGGAUGGAGUUUCUCACCCUACCCCCACCCUCUUCUGACGUCACAGCCCUCACUUCCUGACACUAAUUGGUUGCCUUGGAAACAAGUUCCUUAAAAAGCAGGAUGACUGGAUGUGGUGGGAGGGAGAGCCACAGGAGACAGCCUUGUCACAAAGAAUCUACAGAGCCCCUCAGAAUCAAGCAGAGCUUCCCAGAGUUGCUCUCCUCCUUGGAACACAUCUCCGGUAUGGAGGAAGAGAGUUGCCAGCUUAGGGAAAUGCUGUGGGCAUUGAUGGUCCACAUUUUUUUUUUUCUUUUUUGAGACAGGGUUUCUCUAUGUAGCCCUGGCUAUUCUAGAACUCAAUCUGUAGAUCAGGCUGACCUUGAACUCACAGAGAUCCACCUGCCUCUGCCUCCUAAGUGCUGGGAUUAAAAGCGUUCGCCACCACUGCCCAGCUGGCCCACAUUUCUUAACGGGACUAUACAAGGGUAGUCUAGUUCACCAUGCCUGCCAUUUCCUGCUUUAUUUGAGGGUACAUUGCUUUUGAGUGGGGAGAUCAUAUUGCAAAGUCAGAGUCCAAGGCAAAAAAAGAAAAAGGAGGAGGAAAAAAGGAAGGAAGGAAUGAAGGAAGAAAGGAAGGAAGAAGGGAAGAAAAGAAACAAACAAAAAUACAGUCACUAACUCUGGAACAAGUGGAUAUCAGAAGUGAUAGGGGCUUGCUCUUUCAGCGCCAGAUCAGAAGUGAUCUCUUCUAAAGAACUGUCAUUAACUAGGCAAUCUCCCACCCACCCUCAUCUGCGCGCGCGCAAACACACACACUUCACCAUUUACUACAGAGCUUACACAUAUUUUUUCAAUAAACACUUACCCAUCUUUGCUAUGUCAUAGAAUCUGCACCAAUCCCAGGGGAUAAGACCAUGAGCAGACAGGGCUCUUAAAGGAGCGCACCACCUCUCACAAGUUGUCCUCUGACUCCCACAUGUGUACCUUGGAACGCAUGACACCCCCAUAAAUGAAUGCACGUAAUAAAAAAAAAUUUGAGACAGCGUCUCUCUACAUAGCCCUAGCUGUCACUAAAACUCACUAUCCAGGCUGUCCUCAAACACAGAGAUUUACCUGUUUCUGCCUCCCGAGUACUUGGAUUAAAGAUGUGUGCCACUGUUGCCCAGCUCAUAAUAAAAAAAAAAUUUUUUUCGAGACAGGGUUUCUCUGUGUAGUUUUGGUGCCUGGCCUGGAUCACGCUCUGUAGAUCAGGCUGGUCUCGAACUCACAGAGAUAUGCCUGGCUCUGCCUCCCAAGUGCUGGGAUUAAAGGCGUGCGCCGCCGCCGCCGCCGCCGCCGCCGCCGCCGCCGCCGCCGCCGCCGCCGCCGCCGCCGCCGCCGCCACCACCACCACCAGCACCACCACCCAACACAAAAAUAUUUUUUAAAUGAGUUAUUGGACUAGAGAGAUGGCUCAGUAGUUUAAAAACAUGCUGCUCUUCCAUAUGGUACAAACCCCACUAGCCUUUCAAGGACCCCAGGGUCUUUCUUCUUCUCUCAAGGCCAAGGCACAGAGGAGUGGAUAGGGCUUGAGGGUGAGAGACGAACCGUAUCCACUGCUAUGUGUCCUCUGGAGUUCAUGCACAGACACCAGACAUAGCCAUUCUUCUGUGCACUUAUGUCCUGAUGUCACACUUGUACACAUUUUUUGACCAGUAGCAGUCAUUUUGACUUCUUCUAAAUUGGCCAGUACAGAGGUAUGAGGAUGUGUGUGAUUCCACUUAUGAUCUCGAGAGUGAGCAUGUGUUCCGGAGAAGGAGGAUUUAGGGGUGUGUGUGUGUGUGUGUGUGUGUGUGUGUGUGUGUGUGUGUGUGCAUUUUCCAAAUGCUUGGCUUUUUUCAAAAUGGCUUGGAGCACUACUGUCAUUUAUGGGGUUUCAAAUGUCAGAACAGGGCCCGAGGGGAGGCAGGGGAGAUUAAACUGCAAGGUGAAGGUUAUAGAUGACGUUUCUGAUAGGCAGACAGGCAGACUCAAAUGAUGCUGCACUUUAGCAGUCGUUCACACACACACACACACACACACACACACACACACACACCACUAUAGUUCAUCUCCUCAUAUUUUAAUGGCGUAUUCUGAAAGCUAAAAAUCAUGAAAGUCUAUGUCUAAAAAGGCACAUCUCUGCUUUUAGAACCCACCAGCCGCUCUCUGUGGUUUGUGUCUAUACUCAAUGCACUUGCCUUCCUAAUACGUGUACUUGUUUUCUGUCUCUUUGCAUAUAAUAUCCUUUUUUUCUUUAUUUUUUGAUGAGGUCUCAAGUAGCCCAAGCUGACCUUGAACUUAAUACAUAACUGAGGAUGAUCCUGAACUUCUGAUUCUCCUUCUUUACCUUCCGAGUACUAGGACCUUAGGCAUUACCACCACACUCAGUUAUAUACUUCUAGGAAUAGAACUGAGGGCUUUGUGCACUAGACAAAAUACUCAGCCUGCUCAGCUAUCUCCCAGUCCCCUUUGUAUUAUUUAACUUGACCACAUUUCCACACAGCAUCCUAGCUUAAAACAUAGUAGAAUUAUGUAAUUAACAAUUUAUAUCAAGUCCGACUGUCUUCCUAAGCUUAUUAAUUUGUAUAAUGUAGUAGGUAAAGUUGAGAGUCCUAUUUUAUAAAGAUAAAGAAACUGAGGUCAAUGAGAUCUGAUGUGUUGGCAAGACCACCCAACUAGAAAUGGACAGGGAGGGCCUUGAAAUUCUUUUAAUACUGGUUUUUUUUGUUGUUGUUGUUUUUGUUUGUUUGCUUUUGUUUUUUGAGACAGGGUUUCUCUGUGUAGCCCUGCCUGUCCUGGCACUCACCCUGUAGACCAGGCUGGCCUCGAACUCACAGAGAAGUGCUGGGAUUAAAGGCAUGUGCCACCAUACCCAGUUCCUCCUCACUAUUUUUGAGAUGAGGUCUUCCUAUGUAGCCCAGGCUAGGCUUGAGUUCACUAUGUAGCCCAAGCUGGCCUUGCUCUUGAUCCUUCUGCCUCAGCUGCCCAAGAACUACAAUCAAUUACAGGCUUGUGCCACCAGGUGCAGCUUCCAGAGUCCGAAAUUUCCUGCAGGCUGCAGCUCUAACAUGGUUAGACACUAGAAGCAGCUGGGAAGUUGGAAAAGCCACAAUGCCCUGGGUCUCCUCACAGACACUCUGAUUCAAAGGUUCUGAGAAAUGCUUGCUGUGUGUUUAUUUUGUUUGCUCUGUUUGUCUGAGUUCUCUCUUGGCCCAGGCUGGCUGUGAACUCGCAGCCACGCUGCCUGGCUUCCCUAGAACUACAAGUGAGCAUGAUUCGUCGGGUUGUUGUCCUUUUGUUUUUGAGAGAGUCUUAUUCCGUUACCUCAGUAGUUUCAAAUUUACAGAGAUUCUGCUGUCUCAGCCUCCCCAUUGCAGGCCCGAGUUAACACGCCCAGCGUGUGGUCUGUUUUUAAAGGGCCAGUGACUCAGAAGGCAGGCUCACUUUGCCUUUUUGUGAAGGCACCAUCUCAUCUCCAUCCUCCUCAAUGGCUGUCUCUCCCUUUGCUUCUCUGUGGACUUUUUCUGCAUGCGGGUGUUGGAUCCCCUGGAAAUGGAGCUCCAGACAGUUGUGAGCUGCCGUGUGGGUGCUGGGAAUUGAACAUGGGUCCUCUGGAAGAACAGUUGGUGCUCUUAACCGCCGAGCCAUCUCUCCAGCCCCUCCUGCUCAGGAUGAUCAAUCCUUGUUUCUUCUACCCCAUCUACCUCCUUCCCCCUCCAAAGGCCUCAUUGCUUGUCUACCUCAGGCUGGUGAAUGAAGAAGUUGCUGUCUAGAUGCCCCUCAGGUGGCCGUCCUAAAUGGGUGAGACUUUUGCCCCAACCAAAAACGAAGGUAGAGUAUCAGUUCCACUUAGCCCUGUGGCCUGGAAGAAAGGGAAGUGAGAAGACUGGUAAAUGACUUAGGAGAGAAGAAUGGAGGAAAGGAAACCAGAGGAAGGAAGGAGAGGGGAGCUGGCUCCUUAGGAGACCACCCUAGCCGGGCGGUGGUGGCGCAUACCUUUAAUCCCAGCACUCAAGAGGCAGAGGCAGGAGGAUCUCUGUGAGUUCAAGGCCAGCCUGGGCUACAGAGUGAGUUCCAGGACAGCCAAGACUGUUUCACAGAGAAACCCUGUCUCGAAAAACAAAAACAACAACCAAAAACAAACAAAUAAAAGAGAGAAAGAGAGAGAGAGAGAGAGAGAGAGAGAGAGAGAGAGAGAGAGAGAGAGAGAGAGAGAGAGAGAGAGAGAGAGAGCACCUUGACAGCUAGGGCCCACAUGGAGUCCUCUCUUGCUUGACCCUCUACAAAACAGGCAAUGCCAAAGGUUAGCUGUAGUCUGCAGGGGCCUUGAAGCUUGUUUCUGCUCACUAGAUUUAAGAUGAUAAUGAUGGGCACUGGGCAUCCAUCGUCCCAGAAGGCAGAAGGCAGAGGCAGGUAGAUCUCUGUGAAUUUGAAAUCAGUGUGGUCUACACAGUGAGUUCCAAGAUAACCAGGCUGCAUGAUGAGACCUGGUCUCAAAACAAAACAAAACCACAAACAAAAAUAAAGAAUAGUACCAACAACAAAAAACUUACUGCCUUUUAUUUAUUUAUCCCAAGCCUAUUCUACUUCUAGUCUCCAUCUUCUUUGAAUCAUUCAGUCAGGGCAAAAAAUAUGAUGGUUGGGUUGGAGAGAUGGCUCAGCGGUUAAGAGCACUUGUUCUUGCAGAGGACCUGGGUUCAAUCCCAGCAUCCACAUGAUGGCUCACAACCAUCUCUAGUUCUAGUUCCAGAGGAUUAUCCACCUUCCCCAGGGCUUUGUGGACACCAGGCAUACAAGUAGUACCCAGGCCAAACAACCAUAUGCAUAAAGAAUAGAAUAGACCAGGCUAGGCCAGGCUAGGCUAGGAUAGGAUGGAAUAAUGCCCUCCCUGCUCUCCAGCCCCACCUCCUCCAGGAGCCCUGCCUCCUGAUCUUCAGCUGGAAAGGACAGCUCCUUCUUGUUGUCUUCCUGUGCCUUGCAGCUUUGAGUAGCUCUCACAUUGAUGUUUAUCUUCAUAGUCACGUGGCUGGAUUUAGAAUCCAGACUGAGUCACUCUUAAUGUGUGUAUGAGGGUGUGUCAGAGAGGAUUAACUAAGAGGAAAGUGAACAGUGGUGGCACUAUCCCUGUGAACCAAGAGGAAGAAGAAGGAAGAGCUGUAUGCUGGCAUCUGCUUCUUCCUGACUUCUGGCCCACUGUGAAGUGCAGAGCUCUGCUCGGAGGAACACUACCACCCCUACCUCAUGAUAGGCUGAACCCUCUGAGGCCAUGAGCAAAGUAAGUCUUUCUUCCUGAGAAUUACUUAUGUUGGGUAUUUUGGUCACAGUGACAAAAGCCAACUAACACCCUAUGUUCUGACUUGCCUGUUUUCAAAUCUGCCUCCCUCUCUGGACUGUGACCUCCUAGAAAGCAUGGACCUUGUCUUAUUCCUUAUGCAAGAAGACUAGACUCAGUCCUCUUGUGAGUUCACAGACCAUCCCCUCCCUUAGCUAAAGCCCUUGAGUAAGGAUGCUCUGGUUUCUGGACCUCAAAGGAUUAGUAUCACCCUUAUAGCCAAGGCAGAGAAGCUAAGUGUGAUGGUUUGAAAGAAAAUGGUCCCCAAAGGAAGUGGCACUAUUGGGAGGUGUGGCUUUGCUUCAGUGGGUAUAGCCUUGUUGGAGGAAGUGUGUCACUGUGGAGACAAGCUUUGAGGUCUCAUGUAUGCUCAAGAUACAACCUAGCGUUUUAGUCCACUUCCUGUUGCCUGAAAAAUGUAGGAAUCUCAGCUACUUCUCCAGCACCAUGUCUGCCUGCAUACUGUCAUAUCCCACCAUGAUAAUAAUGACUAAACCUCUGAACUGUGAGCAAGCCACCCCAAUGAAUUGUUUUUUUUCUUUAUAAGAGUUGCUGUGGUCAUGGUGUCUCUUCACAGCAAUAAAAACCCUAACUAAGACACUAAGUGUGAGGGAAGGGACCCAAAUCAGUCUCUGGCCAGACACUGGAUUUGCCUGAGUGAUGCUGGGUGCCCAGGCCCAGCUCUGACUUCUGCAGCGCUGAGACCCAUUCCUGUCCUGAAGGAGGUGUAUGAGUGUUUUGCCUACAUGUGUGUCUGUGUACCACCUAUGUACCUGGUGACCAAGGAGUCAGAAGAGGACAUCAGAUCCCCUGUAACUGGAUUUAUGGACAGUUCUGACCCACUGUAUGGGUGCUGGAAACCAAACCCAGGUCCUCUGCAAGUUUUCUUGAUCACUGAGCUAUCUCUCCAGCUCCAGUAAGGCUGUGAGGAAAUCAAGUGAAAGGCUUGUGGCAGGCUUCCUGGCAGCUGCAGCCUGAAUGGGGCUUCCCAGGGCAGACCUGGUCGUACGAUGGGCCCCUCUCUGGUAGAGACUCGACUUACAUGGUUGGCUGAGAGUUUUGGAAAGCCCUGCUCAAGAGUGAAACCUGGGUAUGUGGUGCUUCACACCUGUAAUUCCAACACUGAGGAUCCCUGGGUCUUGCUGACCAGCCAGCCUUGCCCACUUGGUGAGAGUUUUAGGCCAGUGAAAGACUGUGUCUAAAAAGAAUAUGGUUUGAGAAAUGACUUCCAAGACUGUUCUUUGGCCUCCACAUGCAUUCACACACACAUAUGUAUACACGCCUGCACACAUGACCAUAUACACAUAAAAAUAAGUUCAAAGUUGUUCUCAGCUACGUGACAAAUUUGAAGACAGCCUGAGUUCCAUGAACAUAAAACGAAGUUCUCAAACAUAAAACGAAGGGCCAGUGAGAUGAUGCAACAGAGGAAGAACUUGUCACCAAGUCCAAUAACUGGUGUUAGAUCCCUGGGACACACAUGGUGGAGGUAGUGGCAGGUUGUUCUCUGUCCUCCACACAUGUGCACACACACACACACACACACACACACACACACACACACACACACACUCUUAAUUAAAAAUAAAAUAAAUAGCUAUAUUUUUUUUGGUUUUGGUUUGUUUGAUGUGUGUGUGUGUGUGUGUGUGUGUGUGUGUGUGUGUGUGUGUGUGUAUAACCUUUAUUUUAUAUUCAUUGGUAUUUUGCCUACAUGUAUGUGUGAGGGUUUCAGAAGCGCUGAAACUGGACUUUAAAUAGCUAUAUUCUUGUUCUUUCUGUUGGCCCAUCUAUCCCUAGCCACAGGAUCACUGGACAGAGAUGGCGCCCAUGCAGAAAUACACUCACGGCUGGAGAGAUGGCUAGGUGGUUAAGAGCACUGGCUGCUCUUCCAGAGGACCUGGGUUCAAUUCCUAGCACCCACAUAACAGCUCACUGUCUGUAACUCCAGUUUCAGGGGAUCUGACACACUCACACAGACAUACCAUACAUUCAGGCAAAACACCAGUGCACAUAAAAUAAAAACAAAUUAAAAAAAAUACAUUCACUCACGAGGAUACAAGAAAUCCUUUGUGUUCAUACCACUGUUGGACUCCCAGGAAGUAAGAGUCUGUAAGAAAGGCAUAAAGACUUUCCUAAGAAGCUGCAAAUCCCCUUCCUGAUUUCCUGCUAUCUCCUCCCAGCCUCCAACCCCCGCUUCUCCCUCCAUGAUCACACCAUCCUUCCUCUAACCCCCUCCCUGAUGUAGAACAUUGUAGGUCUGAAGGGCAUGAUGGAAAUGGUAUGAUGGAUGGUCAGGAUUCUCCGCAUAGCUGAGCCCAGGGCAGAGCCAAUGCACAUCUGGCCUCAGGACACGCUUCUCCUACUUGGGGGUUGAGAAGUGAUUUUCAUUUUCCCUCUUUAAGAAUCACCUUUCACUCUAGUGAUCUGGUGUGGGCCUUAGAAUCUCUACUCAGUCACCAGCAAAAACUGCAGGAAUUCCACCAAUGAUUCUAAAGGCCACUUUCCUGCAAAGGUCAGCCUCUUCCUGAGAGGCAAGGGCCGUGUCUGACAAGGAAGAUCCACAUCUUCCUUAGCUUUGAUACCCAGAUGUUGACUUUCAGUCCUGGUGGUUUAAGUCCAGGAGUGUCGGUUGUUAUGUGUAUCAUCGAGAAGUAUGGAGACCCUUUCCCAAGGAACGUCUGGGCAUCCCCCAACCUCCCUGGGUUGCUCUCCUGGAAACCACGUGUCCUAGUUAAAGAUACUACUGCUAUGAUGAAACCCAUAACAAAAAGUAAGUUGGGGAGGAAAGGUGCUGUGGGAUGUUCUGUAUGGCAAAUAUGUUGCUAAUUAGUCAAUAAAUAAAACACUGAUUGGCCAUUGGCUAGGCAGGAAGUGUAGGCGGGACAAGGAGGAGAAUAAAGCUGGGAAGUGGAAGGCUGAGUCAGAGAGACACUGCCAGCUGCCACGAUGAGAAACAGCAUGUGAAGAUGCCGGUAAGCCACGAGCCAUGUGGCAAGGUAUAGAUAAAUGGAAAUGGAUUAAUUUAAGCUAUAAGAACAGUUAGUAAGAAGCCUGCCACGGCCAUACAGUUUGUAACCAAUAUAAGUCUCUGUGUUUACUUGGUUGGGUCUGACGGCUGUGGGACUGGCAGGUGAGAAAGAUUUGUCCUGACUGUGGGCCAGGCAGGAAAACUCAAGCAACAGAAAGGGUUUGUUUGGCUUACGUUUCCACAUCGUAGUCCCUCAUUGAAGUCAGGACAGGAACUCAAACAGGGCAGGAACCUGGAGGUAGAAACUGAUGCAGAGGCCAUGGAGGGGGUGCUGCUUACUGAUUUAUUUCUCAAAAUUUGCUCAGCCUGCUUUGUUAUAGAAUCCAGGACCUAGCCUAGGGAUGGUACCACCCACCAUAAGCUGGGUCCUCCCCCAUCAAUUCCCAAUUAAGAAAAUACCCUACAGGCUUGCCUACAGCUCAAUCUUUGUUAUUUUUAAUUAAAUUUUUUCAUUUAUUUUACAUUCUGACCAUAAUUUUCCCUUCCUCCUCUCCUCCCAUCCCCUCCCUGAGCCUCACCUCUGCUCCCCACCUCAUACACUCCUCCUCUGUUUCUGUUCAGAAAGAGGCAGGGCUCCCAUGAGUGUCAACAAAGCAUGUCAUAUCAACUUGAGGUAAGACUAAGCUCCUCCCUUCGUUUUAAGGCUGGGAGAGGCAACCCAGUAUGGGGAAUAGGUUCCCAAAAGCCAGCUCAAGCAUUAGGGACAGGCCCUCAUCCCAUCACUAGGAGUCCCACAAUUAGACCAAGUUAUAUAACUGUCACACAUAUGUAAAGGGCCUAGGUUGGCCCCAUGAAAGCUCUCUAGCCCUACAGCCCAAUUUUUUUUUUUUUU
Molecule: long non-coding RNA, 18935 nt
Organism: Peromyscus californicus insignis
Lineage: Eukaryota; Metazoa; Chordata; Mammalia; Rodentia; Cricetidae
Exons: 3
Source: RefSeq, a predicted model, not a curated record